AUACAAAAAUCAAGUGUAUUUCUAUGCACUAGCAACAAAUAAUCUGAAAUAAAAAUUAAGAAAAUAAUUCCACUUAAAAUGCAUCAAAAACAAUAAACUAACAAAGCUAUAGUAAUCAAAACAUCAUAGUAUUGGCAUAAAAACAGGCACGAACCAAUGGAACAGGAUAGAGAGCCCAGAAAUAAAUUCAUGCAUUUACAGUUAAUUGAUUUUUGACAAAGUAUCAAGAACAAUGAGGAAAGAACAAUUUCUUCAAUAAAUGAUAUUGGAAAACUGGAUAUUCACAUGCAAAGAAAGAAAUUAGGCCAAUAGCACAAGGAACAAAAGCAAAAAUAGACAAAUAGGAUUACAGCAAACUAAAAAACACGUAGCCAUUUCCCCCAUUCCUCCUCCCUCUUUUCUUCUCGGCUUAGACUCACCCUAAGGUGAGGCAAAUUGCUGCUGCCCCUCGGCUCCCUCUGCCACUCCAUUCCUGGGAAAUGGCUGCCACCACGGCUCCACACCCUACCUCUCCUCUGGGAGGGAAGGAUUAGCAGGAUCAAUGACCUCUGGCUCCAAGAGGGUGAUCACCCAUCUUGAGACUUUCAGUUCUAGGGACACAAGCAUGGCCUUCAUCCACCUCUCAUGACAUCACCCGGUGUUAUAAUGUAUCACUGCACUGGCGGCAUUAGCUCCCAGAAGCAGAAAGGAGUGUGAGGUGUGGAUUGAUUCUUUCUUACAGGACCACAGUCUCAUGAGCAGUCAGCGCACAUUGCCCCCAAACUUCAGCAAAGUCUGUUAUCCACACAAAAGCUUUAGUGAGAGU
This 805-nucleotide long non-coding RNA is filed under the name Homo sapiens (human). RNAcentral's name for it is "non-protein coding lnc-CDYL-14:1". Lineage: Eukaryota; Metazoa; Chordata; Mammalia; Primates; Hominidae. The record is from RNAcentral.